AUCACUUCUUGGCCUUUUGGCUAAGAUCAAGUUUAGUAUCUGCUCUUACCAGUUUGAUAAUAGUUUGAUAAUAGUGAUAUCAGUUUGAUAAUAGCAAAAAAUAAGGAGAAAUCCAUCAUCUCCAUCAUCA
This 130-nucleotide small nuclear RNA is filed under the name Neogale vison (American mink). Its description in RNAcentral is "Neovison vison (American mink) U2 spliceosomal RNA (ENSNVIG00000018985.1)". It matches the Rfam family "U2 spliceosomal RNA". Rfam says of the family: U2 is a small nuclear RNA (snRNA) component of the spliceosome (involved in pre-mRNA splicing). Complementary binding between U2 snRNA (in an area lying towards the 5' end but 3' to hairpin I) and the branchpoint sequence (BPS) of the intron results the bulging out of an unpaired adenosine, on the BPS, which initiates a nucleophilic attack at the intronic 5' splice site, thus starting the first of two transesterification reactions that mediate splicing. Lineage: Eukaryota; Metazoa; Chordata; Mammalia; Carnivora; Mustelidae. The record is from RNAcentral.